This 440-nucleotide ribosomal RNA is filed under the name uncultured bacterium. RNAcentral describes it as "partial 16S ribosomal RNA". It matches the Rfam family "Bacterial small subunit ribosomal RNA", at positions 338 to 795 of the family's 1533-position model. The record is from RNAcentral.
CCUACGGGAGGCAGCAGUAGGGAAUAUUGCUCAAUGGGGGAAACCCUGAAGCAGCAACGCCGCGUGGAGGAUGAAGGUUUUCGGAUUUUAAACUCCUUUUGUUAGAGAAGAUAAUGACGGUAUCUAACGAAUAAGCACCGGCUAACUCCGUGCCAGCAGCCGCGGUAAUACGGAGGGUGCAGGCGUUACUCGGAAUCACUGGGCGUAAAGAGCGCGUAGGCGGGAUAGCAAGUCAGAUGUGAAAUCCUAUGGCUUAACCAUAGAACUGCAUUUGAAACUGUUAUUCUAGAGUAUGGGAGAGGUAGGUGGAAUUCUUGGUGUAGGGGUAAAAUCCGUAGAGAUCAAGAGGAAUACUCAUUGCGAAGGCGACCUGCUAGAACAUAACUGACGCUGAUGCGCGAAAGCGUGGGGAGCAAACAGGAUUAGAUACCCUUGUAGUC